Non-coding RNA from Podarcis lilfordi (Lilford's wall lizard), 73 nucleotides. The record is from the annotation of a GenBank genome assembly. NCBI's taxonomy places the organism in Eukaryota, Metazoa, Chordata, Lepidosauria, Squamata, Lacertidae.
GGUAUAGCUCAGUGGCAGAACAUCUGCUUUGCAUGCAGAAGGUCCUAGGUUCAAGCAUCUCCAAGGAUGACCA